RNAcentral lists this ribosomal RNA (511 nucleotides) under Acinetobacter calcoaceticus. RNAcentral describes it as "bacterial SSU rRNA". It matches the Rfam family "Bacterial small subunit ribosomal RNA", at positions 527 to 1051 of the family's 1533-position model. The record is from RNAcentral. Lineage: Bacteria; Pseudomonadati; Pseudomonadota; Gammaproteobacteria; Moraxellales; Moraxellaceae.
AGAGGGUGCAAGCGUUAAUCGGAUUUACUGGGCGUAAAGCGCGCGUAGGCGGCUAAUUAAGUCAAAUGUGAAAUCCCCGAGCUUAACUUGGGAAUUGCAUUCGAUACUGGUUAGCUAGAGUGUGGGAGAGGAUGGUAGAAUUCCACGUGUAACGGUGAAAUGCGUAGAGAUCUGGAGGAAUACCGAUGGCGAAGGCAGCCAUCUGGCCUAACACUGACGCUGAGGUGCGAAAGCAUGGCGAGCACACAGGAUUAGAUACCCUGGUAGUCCAUGCCGUAUACGAUGUCUACUAGCCGUUGGCGCCUUUGAGGCUUUAGUGGCGCAGCUAACGCGAUAGUAGACCGCCUGGGGAGUACGGUCGCAGACUAAACUCAAUGAAUUGACGGCGGCCGCACAACGGUGGAGCUGUGGUUAAUUCGAUGCACCGCGAAGACCUUACCUGGCCUUGACAUAUAAGAACUUUCAGAGAUGGAUGGUGCCUUCGGCAACUACAUACAGUGCUGCAUGGCUG